Dermochelys coriacea (leatherback sea turtle) is the source of this 2994-nucleotide long non-coding RNA. RefSeq lists it as uncharacterized. The record is from RefSeq and is a predicted model, not a curated record. The transcript has 5 exons. NCBI's taxonomy places the organism in Eukaryota, Metazoa, Chordata, Testudines, Dermochelyidae.
UGUAACUAUCUGGUGGUUAAAAUAAUUUCCCAUUCAAAUAUUUUUCUAACUUUUUAAUAACCCUAAUCGUUUCAAUUUGGGGGAGGAAGGGGGGUUAUGUUUGAUAGUCACUUUUGUUAUUUACACAAGUAAUAUUUUCCCUUCAUUUUACUUGUUUAGUCAAGUAUGCUCUUUACAAUAAAGUCCUGACUGCUAAUCUCUAUUUGCUGACUGACAUUUUUGUUUGUUUGUUUCCCCCAGGGUGAUAUUUGGGGAGGUAGCUUCUGAUGCUGCAGCAUGACCCUGGGUUGUGUUAACUGUGACCUCAAAUGUCUUGAGCAUUUCCCCCAAAUGUUCCAAAUCCUCCCUGCUCCCCUGAAAAAGUCAGUCAGUCAGAAAUGUUGACGGUUAUUUUUUUUUAACUGGCAGUGCAGCUAGAUUAAGCCACUUGGGCUAAAUCACAUCUUCCGCGCUGGUGCUUUACACAGUUUAUUCUUCCCAACUGGAGAACAGCACAGACCCUUCUACCCCACGUAAACUGUUGGAGUGGAAGGGGAAGAUGCUUUGAGGAAAUUUCCUGUCUAUUCUCCUGUGAUAGUUCAUCCGAACUGUAUGUCCUUGAUUCUCCACUAGAGGUCACUGGCCCAUCGCAGUCUUGCUGCACCUAGUUCCACCUCCAUUUCCUCUUACUCAAAUUAGCACCGCGUUAAUUAACACUGUAGUCCAUCAACGGGCGUUUCUCUGUACAGUACAGGAGCAGAGCUUAUAUAGACAAACCAACCCAAAUAUAAAAAGCACCUACCAAAACUCUUCAUCAUGUACAAAAUGGGAAGCGCACGUCUGAGUGACCGGGGGCAAGAUUCAGAUUAAGAAGAAGGAUCACAAGGGAUGGCAAUCAACAAGAAAUGAAUAGAAGAUGGCUUGUGAGUUAUGUAGAGGAGAAUGACUGAAAUGACUGUUUGGAAUUAUUCUGGGAUUAGACUAGAAUGGGGUCUACUCUGCCAAUCUAAGGAUACUCUUCCUGACCACAGGUAUGCUGCUGGGACUGAGGUGGAGUGUAUGGGUGGAUUAAUCUUUGGGUUUCUGGCCCAUUUCUACAUCUCUCUGGCUCAUCUUCAAAACAAAAACUGUCAGCUAGGAAAAGCUUGAAGACUCAUGGCCACAGAUUCAUUAAAACACUUCCUCAUCUGAUUGAUCUUUCAUCCGGGGAAUAACUCAUUGUGGAAACCUACCCACUCAGUAUGAAGUUUCUUAAACUCUUUUAUGGAGUCUGGUUAACAAUUACAUGGAUUUUUGAGGAACAAAUCCAGAGCUUUGACUGAAUGAAAUAUACUGAAACCAAAAAGAAAAGCUUGGUCUUGAUUAUCAAUAUUACAGAUUAGCUUGAAGGAAAUAAUUAUUACCAAUCUGUACCAUAACAGCUAUACUUAACUGCAAUGUGACAUUUAAGGUCUGUGGAGCAGGGGAUGUCUUUUUGUUCUUGGCCUGUAUGGCAUGCAGCACAAUGAGGUUCUAAUCCAUGAUUGGAGAUCCUAAAUGCUCCCAUAAAAUAAACAAUGAUAUAUUAAUAAUAAUAUUUCUAUUAUUCUAUUUGGAUUGUUGCUUUAAUUUUAUUUUUGAAGAUUUAUCAUUUAUCUUUAGCUCUUGGAGCUAAACUGCCAAAGGCUCAUGCAUCAGGCCACUCCCAAAGCAUAUAUAGUCCUAAGGCCUGAUUCUCAUCUUUUAGAAAUGUAAGGUCCCAGUCUGGUAGUCAGAUCUAUGUGAGCAGUACCUAGGGACUGUGCAAAGCCCACUGACUUCAGUGCAGGUCCAGGCAGGCAUAAAUGUCAACCCACACAGCUCUGAUCGCAGGAAAGCAGCCUUCAAACACAAGGGACUCUGUAGAAGUCAGAUGUAGUUAGACCUAGGUAAAAUAGUGAUGUUAGCAAAAGGAGAAUAGGACCCAAAACACAUUUGCAUGUGCACAUUCAACCAAAGAAAUAAAACACCUGCACAUGUAACCCACACACCUUCUGGGUGUGCUGUUCUGUCCCAUCUAGUGGCACUGAGACCACUUAAAGAGAGGGGUAAAAUGAUUCUGCUGUUUUAAAAUGAGUCUGCCAGCUGGCUUUUAGCUCAUGCAUUAGUGGCUCAUGCACUAAGCUCAAGAGGUCCCUGGUUCAAUCCUGAUGACCAGGGUUUAUCGCGUUACACAUACAUAUGCAGAUGUGGGCUUUGCCGGUGCAAUGGGUGGUGCACAUUUUGUGUCCUUCACCUCUUGCACUGGGCUUUGAAAAUAUGGCCAUUUUAAUCAAUCCAGUUGUUUAUAGCCAUCUCUUAGGUGUAAUGAACAAAUAGAUAUCAAAGAAAUUGAAGUUGGUUCAUUAGAAAUCUUUUCAUUUUUUAUAAUUUUAAAAUGGAAAUCUACAGGGAAAAUACCAGAUUCAUUGCUAAUAGGUGAAGUGUGACUUUUCCAAUAUGUUAAGAUUAUAUUUUAUUAGUUCAAGAAAAAUAUGGUUAUAGAAAAUUAUAUAUUUACCACUCCUUAAAAGAUUUUGCAGAAUUUUCUGUCUUCUCUCUGUUUCUUUCACAUGAUAUUUUACCUUUUCUGAUAUUUAUGCUUUUUGUUUCACAUGUUCAGCAAUCACAAUAUAUCUCUUAUACUCAUGGUUUUCAAUCAAAAUAUAUUUAAAAUUGCAUUUAAUAAAUACCUUUAAAAUAGUAUCAACAGAAUUUUAUUUUUGUUGAUAUUUCUGGCUUCACUAUAUGUCAAAAUGUAAUUGGUUUGUUAAGGACCAAUCCUACAUUCCUAAUUCAAGAUAAAACUUCCAUUGAAAUCAAUGGGAAGUCAAUUGUCUUGGUAUGGAUUUCAAGGUUGAGCCUUUAGCUUAGUUUUAUGAGUGUAACUGAGCCUUAAAUAAUUUUUCUUACCAUUGUCUGGCAGAACAUUUUUUCCACCAGUCUAGUUUAACUGGUGGUGUAAUUAAUAUGUAUAAUUCCAAAUUUUGUAAUAAAAUAAACUGCAUAUAUUGUUAA